Manduca sexta (tobacco hornworm) is the source of this 540-nucleotide long non-coding RNA. RefSeq lists it as uncharacterized. The transcript is spliced from 3 exons. NCBI's taxonomy places the organism in Eukaryota, Metazoa, Arthropoda, Insecta, Lepidoptera, Sphingidae. The record is from RefSeq and is a predicted model, not a curated record.
CAACCCAGUUACUAUGAGUGGUCGUGUCAGACGGAUGCUUUGGACGAGCAUUUUUCGCGUAAACUAAAUUGAUUUCUUUUAAUUAAAUUACAGUGAAUAGUUGUGUUAACGAUGUGUGUGUGAUGUGUGAAAUGAGAAUUAUUAUUGUGAAUAGAAAAACACAUAAGACUUAAAAAAGGGGAUGUAAAGUGAAACAAAAAUGGCUUCAGGAGACACUGAUCAUAUAGAAAUAAUGGAAAGUGGUGUGUCGAAGAAGACGGAUAACGCAACGGGACCUGGCUCGGAGGACGACGAUCGCGACAAGAGCUCAAUAGCUGAAAAAAUGCUCCGUACGACCCGGCCGUAGGCCCUUCGGGCGCCAUCAGCAAAGUCCACAAGUCGGACAGGAAGAUCGGCCACCGGCGAGUCGGCGAGGGUGGCGAGAUCACCUACAAGAAGAUCCAGUCGUCGCAGAUUAUGGGCUCCAUACAACUUGGUAAGUCUUUGAAAGAUAUGAUGAAGAAUUACGCGAACUUCGCGUCAUACAACUCCACUCUGAUG